RNAcentral lists this ribosomal RNA (506 nucleotides) under uncultured bacterium. RNAcentral describes it as "partial 16S ribosomal RNA". It matches the Rfam family "Bacterial small subunit ribosomal RNA", at positions 30 to 523 of the family's 1533-position model. The record is from RNAcentral.
AUUGAACGCUGGCGGCAGGCCUAACACAUGCAAGUCGAACGGUAACAGGAAACAGCUUGCUGUUUCGCUGACGAGUGGCGGACGGGUGAGUAAUGUCUGGGAAACUGCCUGAUGGAGGGGGAUAACUACUGGAAACGGUAGCUAAUACCGCAUAAAGUCGCAAGACCAAAGAGGGGGACCUUCGGGCCUCUUGCCAUCGGAAGUGCCCAGAUGGGAUUAGCUAGUAGGUGGGGUAACGGCUCACCGAGGCGACGAUCCCUAGCUGGUCUGAGGGGAUGACCAGCCACACUGGAACUGAGACACGGUCCAGACUCCUACGGGAGGCAGCAGUGGGGAAUAUUGCACAAUGGGCGCAAGCCUGAUGCAGCCAUGUCGCGUGUAUGAAGAAGGCCUUCGGGUUGUAAAGUACUUUCAGCGGGGAGGAAGGGAGUAAAGUUAAUACCUUUGCUCAUUGACGUUACCCGCAGAAGAAGCACCGGCUAACUCCGUGCCAGCCGCCGCCGUAA